GGGUUCUGAGAGGCAGCCUGUGGUGGCAUGUUAAACACUCUGCUACUGUAAGCAACCCAGCACGAUCCAGCACCAUCUAGAAAAAUACAUCUUUCCAUCAUUCACAGACCUGAUUUCACUUAUGACUCUGCUUGGCAAAUGACUUGCUUUCGAAGCUGCCAGAGUGGUAACCUCAUUGACAAGAAAACUGGAAUUAAAAAAUGUGCACUCCACAAUGAAGACUAUCAUAGCUCAGUGUUUAUUAUGUGGAUCCAUGGCCUUCGGGCUCUGGACUGCUCUGUUAAUGGCAUAUUUUCACUACAAUCAAGAGAAUAAACCGCUGAAGAAAACCCAGGAACCUAUCAAGGCUAGCUCACUUGGAAAAAAUGUGUACCAGCAAAACCAUGACUCAAAGGAAACUCCCAAACAGAAAGUUAUUAAUGAUAAGAUUGACUUUUUAGAGCCAGAAUUUCACCAAGAAUUUGAGCAAUAUGGACUUAAUGCUGUUAUCAGUAGAAGACUGGGCAUCGUGAGAGAGGUGCCAGAUUCCAGGGAUAAAAUAUGUCAUCAGAAACGCUACCCAUUCAAUCUACCCACUGCCAGCAUCAUCAUAUGCUUUCAUAAUGAGGAAUUUCACACCUUGCUCAGAACAGUGUCUAGUGUGAUGAACCUCACUCCACACCACUUCCUUGAAGAAAUAAUUUUGGUUGAUGACAUGAGUGAAAUUGAUGAUUUGAAAGAAAUAUUGGACUACAGGCUGGAACUUUUUCGUGGGAAGAUUAAAUUAAUAAGAAACAAAAAGAGAGAGGGUUUCAUUAGAUCAAGGAUGAUUGGUGCCUCCCGCGCUUCAGGGGACAUCCUGGUAUUCUUGGAUAGCCACUGUGAGGUGAAUAAAGUCUGGCUGGAGCCCUUACUGCAUGCCAUUGCUAAGGACCACAAAACGGUGGUGUGCCCUCUGAUGGAUGUCAUUGAUGAAACAACACUGAAUUAUAUAGCGGCACCCAUUGUAAGGGGAGCUUUUGACUGGAACCUGGGCUUUAGAUGGGACAGUGUUUUCUCAUAUGAGCUGGACGGCCCAGAAGGACGAAGUAAACCCAUCCGGUCACCUGCAAUGGCAGGACAAAUUUUUGCGAUAGACAGACAUUAUUUUAAUGAACUUGGACAGUAUGACAAGGACAUGGAUCUUUGGGGAGGAGAAAAUGUGGAACUUUCACUAAGAAUUUGGAUGUGUGGAGGCCAACUCUUUAUAAUUCCUUGCUCUCGGGUUGGACAUGUCACCAAGAUACAUAGUUCCAAUGACCCUGCACUCAAGAAAGCCUUGUCACGGAACUUAUUGCGAGUGGUUCACACCUGGCUGGAUGAAUACAAGCUCAGGACCACCUGCCCAGGGAUGGCACCACCCUCAGUAGGCUGGACCUUCCUAUAACAGUACUCAGGAAAAAGCCUGACAUGGCAAUCUGAUGGAGGCAAUUCCUGUUUGGAGUCUCUCUUCCCAGGUGACUCCAGUUUGUGUCAAGGAUAAUUUUUUUCUUCAAAGACCUCAUUUAAAAUACGUAUCCUGUGGAAACAUUAGCGAGCGUGUUGAAUUAAGGAAACGACUAGGUUGCAAGUCAUUCCAGUGGUAUUUGGAUAAUAUCUUUCCAGAGUUGGAGCCAACUGUACACAAUGAUGAAGAAAAAAAUCAUUUAUUUAAUAAAGGGUGAAAAAGUC
This is an RNA transcript of Peromyscus eremicus (cactus mouse), 1689 nucleotides long. It is a transcript of the gene named polypeptide N-acetylgalactosaminyltransferase like 5, with no coding region annotated. NCBI's taxonomy places the organism in Eukaryota, Metazoa, Chordata, Mammalia, Rodentia, Cricetidae. The record is from RefSeq and is a predicted model, not a curated record. The transcript has 10 exons.